This 253-nucleotide ribosomal RNA is filed under the name uncultured bacterium. RNAcentral describes it as "partial 16S ribosomal RNA". It matches the Rfam family "Bacterial small subunit ribosomal RNA", at positions 524 to 776 of the family's 1533-position model. The record is from RNAcentral.
UACGAAGGGGGCUAGCGUUGUUCGGAUUUACUGGGCGUAAAGCGCACGUAGGCGGUUCGUUAAGUCAGGGGUGAAAUCCUGGAGCUCAACUCCAGAACUGCCUUUGAUACUGGCGAUCUUGAGUCCGGAAGAGGUGAGUGGAACUGCGAGUGUAGAGGUGAAAUUCGUAGAUAUUCGCAAGAACACCAGUGGCGAAGGCGGCUCACUGGCCCGAUACUGACGCUGAGGUGCGAAAGCGUGGGGAGCAAACAGG